This 410-nucleotide long non-coding RNA is filed under the name Mustela putorius furo (domestic ferret). RNAcentral's name for it is "lncRNA (ENSMPUG00000028209.1)". Lineage: Eukaryota; Metazoa; Chordata; Mammalia; Carnivora; Mustelidae. The record is from RNAcentral.
CCUCUGUGUGUGUCUGCGUCUCACACCCCUCUUCUUGUAAGGACACCCGUUAAGUGGAGUGAGAGCUACCCUAAUGACCUCAUCCUAGUUUUUCAAUCCAAAUGUACAGGUACUGAGCCCAUAUGAAAUAGGACACAAUUAAGAAAUGACCCUCUCCCCAUCUCCCAUUUCCUGCUGACUCACUUGCUUUCUACAAUCAUCCUGUCUUCUAGAACAUGCUUACAUACGGAAGCUUAGACUCCCCAGAGAGCGGCGGGUAGCACAGCCCAGGGAAUCCCUCAACCGACCAGACCUUUGUUCUCUCAAAUCUCUGGAUCCGCUCCUGCUGCUUUGCCUUGAGUCCUUUGCCUUGAGCUGGGGUAGGGGAGGGGCCCCUCGAAGACAGGCAGCUCCCUUCCUUCCUGACUCAC